GCCACGGUGGUCUAGCGGUCAGAACGCUAGCCUUGUAAUCUUGGGUUCCCGGGUUCAAUUCCCGGUGGUGCUC
RNAcentral lists this transfer RNA (73 nucleotides) under Zootermopsis nevadensis. It matches the Rfam family "tRNA". From Rfam's summary of the family: Transfer RNA (tRNA) molecules are approximately 80 nucleotides in length. Lineage: Eukaryota; Metazoa; Arthropoda; Insecta; Blattodea; Termopsidae. The record is from Rfam by way of RNAcentral.